ACACUCGAUAGAGGCGCGGGCAAGAAGGCUCGCGGGGCAGCCGGCAGGCGUCACGACCCCGCGGGGAGGCGAGCCCGCCGAACUCCGCUCCCGGGCACGGGCGCGGGGUGGGCCUGCGGGGAAGACCCGCAGGACUGUCUGCAAGCAACUGCAGGAGCGCUAUCAGGGAG
Molecule: non-coding RNA, 170 nt
Filed under: Olsenella sp.
Lineage: Bacteria; Bacillati; Actinomycetota; Coriobacteriia; Coriobacteriales; Atopobiaceae
Description: Lysine sequence
Rfam family: Lysine riboswitch aptamer
About the family: Riboswitches are metabolite binding domains within certain messenger RNAs that serve as precision sensors for their corresponding targets.
Source: RNAcentral